Molecule: long non-coding RNA, 1080 nt
Organism: Lolium rigidum
Lineage: Eukaryota; Viridiplantae; Streptophyta; Magnoliopsida; Poales; Poaceae
Exons: 3
Source: RefSeq, a predicted model, not a curated record
CCCUCCUCCACCUCCUUCCUUAAUUUCUGGUGUAAUGGUUAUGACCCUCCCUGAGCCCCCUCUCUACUACUUUCUGCUCCUCUGCUCCCUCUCAAGUGUUGUAAAGAAACCCUGUAUGCUCCUUUUAUUGGUAUAAAGUUGUUCAGGCUGGCGUAAGCCCGCCGUAGUCCAGGUCAAAAAAAAAAGACUAUACCAAAGAUCACGUCUCUGAUUCUGAAUGAGCAUGGUCCCUAAUGUUCGCAAACAUGGUGUAGAAGUUAGCGAACAUUAUGUGUGGACAUCCCGCAAAAAUAUUCUUUGUUGAUAUUUUGUUCCAUUUUACUCCCACGAGUAUUUGUAAGGUUAGGCGUUAAAGCUGAUAGCAAUGCUUGUUUAAGAAGUUCGUAGGUGAUACAUGCAUUUUGUCUGUCACGCAUCACAUACUACACAGUUAACUGUUUAAUGUUGACUCCUAGUCAUUUGGAGUACUGUAUAUUUUUUCAAGUGUGUUGCAUCAUUGAUUAAACCAAAUAUUUGUUUUGAUUCAGAUGCAUUCUUUCUUGAGCAGCCGGAGGAGUGGAUGGGUCGAACCAGGUCUCGGAGCACUACAGAUCAUGGUGCCUAACAACCAGAAGCAGUUCAUCAACAUCCUAACCGGCCACAUCAACAGUGGCGUGAUCCCCAUGAGCAGGUUCAGAUGCAAGCAUGGUUAAUCAGCCCGGAAAGCAGCUAAACUGAGUAGCUGACAGAGUGACCAAGUUAAACCUGGUGAAUCCGAGCCUGGCAAUUUCCUGGAAAGGCUUCACAAGGAAAAGGGGAACACGGUGGGCUCCCCAAGCUGGUGUCGGUGUCACCUCCUUCGUGGUGCUCUGCUUGGUGGGUGAUGGGCGUGCGUGGACGCCGACGAUCUACUGGCAGGGGGCCGGCAUGGUGCUACUGCUUGGGGCUGUGGCCGGCCUCCGGAAGGUGCAGCUGCCGGCAACGCGUGAGAAUUCUGCUGGGCUACACAUGCAGAUGGAUUCCGGCGGCGCACGCCGGUGGAUUGGAUUCCGGCGACGCACGCGGGUGGAUUUGGAUUCCGACGGCGCACAUGGCUUGAGG